This 119-nucleotide ribosomal RNA is filed under the name Helianthus annuus (common sunflower). Lineage: Eukaryota; Viridiplantae; Streptophyta; Magnoliopsida; Asterales; Asteraceae. The record is from RNAcentral.
GGUUGCGAUCAUACCAGCACUAAUGCACCGGAAUUCAGCAGAACUCCGCAGUUAAGCGUGCUUGGGCGAGAGUAGUACUAGGAUGGGUGACCCCCUGGGAAGUCCUCGUGUUGCAACCC